RNAcentral lists this ribosomal RNA (786 nucleotides) under Triticum aestivum (bread wheat). Its description in RNAcentral is "partial small subunit ribosomal RNA". Lineage: Eukaryota; Viridiplantae; Streptophyta; Magnoliopsida; Poales; Poaceae. The record is from RNAcentral.
AUGGGACCUGGACGAACAGUCCGGCCACCAAGAAAUGCCCCGCAAUCUCAAGGUCAACAUUCUGGGAGUACCUCAGCAUCAAAAUCCAGGAAGGUACGUGGGAUAAAUAAGGGAAAGGGCUUGGAGCGUUUGAUCAAAAGGGCAGGUCAUCCACUAAACUUGACCAUCUCCGAAGAGAGAAGACCUAUUGGAGAAAAUAAUGAAUUACUUUCCAGAGAGAUUGGACUUCUUACACGGUACCAUGCACCAUUCCAACGUGCCGGGUGGCAUAGUCUGACUGAGGAUGAUAAGGAGCCGUUGUAUGAACUUCUAAAGCUUAAGUUCAAUCUUGAUUUCACCCAAGAUCAUAUCAAAGGCUGUGUGGAUCUGCUAUUCUCUUCAAGCUACAAAAGUUUCCGUCACAAGUGUUAUGAACAUUAUGUAAAAUCUGGUGAUGAUGCUAGAAGCAAUCCAUAUCCUCCCCUUAUUGAUAAUAGAGUUGGAGACUGGAUUUGGCUCUGUGAUCAUUUUGAAACAGAAGAAUUUAAGAAAUGGUCCACAAUUGGGAAGGCUAACCGCUCAAACCUACCUUAUGUUCACAAGAAGGGAACAAAGUCAUUUGUAGCGGUUCAACAUGAAUUAAAUUGUGGCGAUAUCAGACUAUACAAGGAGUGUUACUCUAGUGAUAAGAAGGGAUGGGCAUCAGAAGAUGCCAGGAAUAAACAUAAGCAAAAGGAACCUAUAGAGGAGGGUGAAGUACCUUUAACAGAGCAACAGAUUUGCGAGCAUGUGCUAGGUAAGGCAUAG